RNAcentral lists this ribosomal RNA (253 nucleotides) under uncultured bacterium. Its description in RNAcentral is "partial 16S ribosomal RNA". It matches the Rfam family "Bacterial small subunit ribosomal RNA", at positions 524 to 776 of the family's 1533-position model. The record is from RNAcentral.
UACGAAGGGGGCUAGCGUUGCUCGGAAUUACUGGGCGUAAAGGGCGCGUAGGCGGAUAGUUUAGUCAGAGGUGAAAGCCCAGGGCUCAACCUUGGAAUUGCCUUUGAUACUGGCUGUCUUGAGUACGGGAGAGGUGAGUGGAACUCCGAGUGUAGAGGUGAAAUUCGUAGAUAUUCGGAAGAACACCAGUGGCGAAGGCGACUCACUGGCCCGCUACUGACGCUGAGGCGCGAAAGCGUGGGGAGCAAACAGG